This 1044-nucleotide long non-coding RNA is filed under the name Homo sapiens (human). RNAcentral describes it as "non-protein coding lnc-ANKRD45-3:3". The record is from RNAcentral. Lineage: Eukaryota; Metazoa; Chordata; Mammalia; Primates; Hominidae.
AGUCGUGCCCUUUGCUGGGGCAUUCAGGUAACCUCAGAGGUUGUUUAUCCUCGUGGGGGUUCCUUGUAUCCCAAGAGUAACCAUUUUUAGAAUUCACUGCGGAACUGGCAGUAUUUGAAUACUGAAGCCUCCUCUUUUCUUCUUUGUUUUCGCCAGCAAAGGCAGUAAAGGGUAGUCACAGAAAGCUAAGAAUUUGUAUUUCUUUUUAGUUGGUGGGUCUCCUUUUGGCACAAUGUUCCUAAUUGUGGAUUGAAUUAUUGCAUGCACACAUGGGUUGGCAUGUAUCUGUCAGGCCUCUACUAUGUGCAAGGUGCAGAAGUUAGAUAGACAGACCAGAGAUAGACCUUAUCCUCCAGAUUUCCCACGGUCAAACUUUCAGGACACCAGGAUUUUAUCCAGGCUCUAAGGCUGUGUUAGUCUGCCCUUUCUACUUAGUAUUCACCACCAGACACUUCACCAAACACAUCUUCUGUGGAUUCACUUUAAUGUUAAGGAGGGAAGAGUAUAUUUUCUUAAAAAAAUUUUUUUUCAGUAGCAAGCAGAGCCAAAAAAGUAUAUUUUUAAAAUUAUCUUUUCCUCCAGAUUUUCCCAUAGCACACAGCCACCUGAUUUUUACCGUAUAUUAAUAUUUAGAAAACAAGUGAUACAAGUGUAAGGUGGGGAUUACAAUUUCAGGAAUAUCAGAGAAAGACUGUUGCUGAUUUCCUGGUAAGUAUACUAGGCUAAGUAUUAACCAGAUUUUCUUUAGCUGUUCUUUAUGUAGAAUCUACACAGGUGUGUCCAGUUGUUUCUGAGGGGAAAGGAUACCUCUUGUUAAUUAGCUUGUAGUGGAAAAUACAUGGCCUUUAGAUCCAGAUAUAGUGGCCCAGUGGAUUCUUCUUGCCUGCUGCCCAGAUACAGAUGAUUUAUCAAGGUAUAGGGAUUGCAAUGGAGAAAGAGUUUUACACAACAUCGAGUGGAAAAAUGGAAGAAGUUUUAUUAUUACUCAAAUCAGUUAUAUUAUUACUCAAAUCGGCCUCCUGGAGCAUUUGGGGGCUAGGUUUC